AGAGUUUGAUCCUGGCUCAGGACGAACGCUGGCGGCGUGCUUAACACAUGCAAGUGGAGCGACGAACCAGGGCUUGCCCUGGGGCAAAGCCGCGAACGGGUGAGUAACACGUGGGUAACCUGCCCCGAUAACCGGGACAACCCGAGGAAACUCGGGCUAAUACCGGAUGUGCUCGGGCGCCAUCAGGCGUGCGAGGAAAGGAAGCUUCGGCCUCCGUAUCGGGAUGGGCCCGCGGCCCAUUAGCUUGUUGGUGAGGUAACGGCUCACCAAGGCCGCGAUGGGUAGCUGGUCUGAGGGGACGAUCAGCCACACUGGGACUGAGACACGGCCCAGACUCCUACGGGAGGCAGCAGUGGGGAAUCUUGCGCAAUGCGCGAAAGCGUGACGCAGCAACGCCGCGUGGGGGAAGACGGCCUUCGGGUUGUAAACCCCUUUCAGUUGGGACGAAGCUCCGUCCGUUAAUAGCGGGCUGGAGUGACGGUACCUUCAGAAGAAGCCCUGGCUAACUACGUGCCAGCAGCGGCGGUAAUUC
Molecule: ribosomal RNA, 532 nt
Filed under: uncultured bacterium
Lineage: Bacteria
Description: bacterial SSU rRNA
Rfam family: Bacterial small subunit ribosomal RNA
Source: RNAcentral